GCAGUGGCAUGAUCUCGGCUCACUACAACCUCCACCUCCUGGACUCAAGUGAUUCUCCUGCCUCAGCCUCCUGAAUAGCUGGGAUUACAGGCAUGUGCCACCAUGCCUGACUAAUUUUUGUAUUUUUAGUAGAUAUGGGGUUUCACUAUGUUGGUCAGGCCGUUCUCAAACUCCUGACCUCAUGAUCUGCCCACCUUGGCCUCCCAAAGUGCUGGGAUUACAGGCAUGAGCCACCGUGCCCGGCCCCAUGCCUCCAUUUUCUAUCCUGCUGCUUGGAACAUGGAGAUGGAUAUGAUGGUGCACCAUACUGGACCAUGGAGACUGAGUUAGAAAAAUAUCCAUAUUUAUACUCGAUUUCCACUCUUGGAACACUUGCUUUUGGAAGCCAGCUGCCAUCUAAGUAUGACUACUCUGAAACCGCCGUGCUGUGAGGAACCCGAGCCAUGUAGAGACUGCGGCCAAGAAGCACCGAGGUGCCAAACGUGUGAGUGAAGAAACCAUCUUGGAACUCCAUCAUCUAGCAGCUGUCUUAGUGGAUACCAUGUAGAUCCUAGACAAAUUGCCCAGCUAAGAUCUUUCCAAAUUCCUGACCCACCAAAUCAUGAGCAAAAUAAAACAGUUGUUUGAAG
Molecule: long non-coding RNA, 629 nt
Filed under: Homo sapiens (human)
Lineage: Eukaryota; Metazoa; Chordata; Mammalia; Primates; Hominidae
Description: HSALNT0127051
Source: RNAcentral